AACGAACGCUGGCGGCAGGCCUAACACAUGCAAGUCGAACGCCCUAGCAAUAGGGAGUGGCAGACGGGUGAGUAACACGUGGGAACCUUCCCUAUAGUACGGAAUAGCUCAGGGAAACUUGAAGUAAUACCGUAUACGCCCGAGAGGGGAAAGAUUUAUCGCUAUAGGAUGGGCCCGCGUCGGAUUAGCUAGUUGGUGAGGUAAUGGCUCACCAAGGCGACGAUCCGUAGCUGGUUUGAGAGAACGACCAGCCACACUGGGACUGAGACACGGCCCAGACUCCUACGGGAGGCAGCAGUGGGGAAUAUUGGACAAUGGGCGCAAGCCUGAUCCAGCCAUGCCGCGUGAGUGAUGAAGGCCUUAGGGUUGUAAAGCUCUUUUAGCAGGGAAGAUAAUGACUGUACCUGCAGAUAAGCUCCGGCUAACUUCGUGCCAGCAGCCGCGGUAAU
Molecule: ribosomal RNA, 449 nt
Filed under: uncultured bacterium
Lineage: Bacteria
Description: bacterial SSU rRNA
Rfam family: Bacterial small subunit ribosomal RNA
Source: RNAcentral